Long non-coding RNA from Mustela lutreola (European mink), 1075 nucleotides. RefSeq lists it as uncharacterized. The transcript is spliced from 4 exons. The record is from RefSeq and is a predicted model, not a curated record. NCBI's taxonomy places the organism in Eukaryota, Metazoa, Chordata, Mammalia, Carnivora, Mustelidae.
CAGAGAGCUUGCUAAAAAGGAGACCGAGCAGCUUCGGGGCAGCGGGCGAAUCUGGGAGCUGUGCAGGGCCGGCGGCAGGAAGGGCAGGAGCAAGUAAUGAGAAUUCCAUGCUUCCAAACUACCACUGGAGAUUGAAUUCACGACUUCAACUCUACAGGCUUUGGGUCCAUCGAUCACAUGGCUGCUCAUUCUCUACUUCUCUGAGAUCCUAAAAGGGCUAUAUAGCUUUAUAAUAGCCCAAUUUACCUAAAGCUAAAGAACAGUAUUUCAAGCACCAACAGAGAAGUCCCUAAAAUUUUAGAUACUGAAGAAUACACACCAGAGUGAAGUUUCUGGGAGAACCUGCCUCCCAGGUGUCAGACACCUUUGAUCACAUGCAGUUUCUCUUAAGAAGAUAUGGAACAGGUCACCAAGGGUUCCUAUUGUAAUAUUUCAUCCUAAGGCUUUUCAAGGAUUGGUGUCAGUGACUAUGAGAAAUGAAAAACCCUGCCAUUGAAAUCCUAAGAGCUGGUGGAAGCAAACAAAAUCUUGAACAAUGUAAGCGUGAGAAAUGCAGGGGACGGGGCUGCUCGCAUAAUCAGAAGUCUUCUUUUUCUUAUGUUGUCUGUCUACAGAAGUUUCCAGCACUGCUUCCAUUUGAAUGCUAACAUUUUUCAGGGGUUCUGUUGCUCCCCUGGGGUGCCUGGUGGUGGAGGGGAGAAGGGAGAAGGGGGAUAAAAUCAGAGCAGUGGAAAAGCCGCAGAUGGAGGAAGGGGUGGCGGAGUCAGGAGACGGAAGCCCUACCAGCCAUAUCCCUUGUGACUUAGGGAGUAUGCCAUGGUGGUACAGUCAAUGCCAGCCCAGAGCCAAAGCUGCCUGUAGCAGCAGGAAACAUUCUGACUCAGUAGGCAGAAUUUCCCGACAGUGAUACAGGCAUGGGGCUGCCGUGACACUUGGUUAUGAGUAAUCCUUGGGACAUAACUAUUUUUUCUUUAAAGCUCUCUUGCCAUAAAUCAAUUGUCUUCAGUUACUUAGUGAUUUGGAAAAUUAUAAGGUAAGAAGAGAAACACUAUGUGGGUUUUCCACUGAAGUGGUA